CUUCAAGCAGCGGAAGAGGGACAGGGAAAUCAACAAGCUUUACUCCUGAACUGCAAAGUAUGAUUUAAACACUUAUCAAGAACAGCUGCUGUAGUGCUAUGGAUCCUAUCCAUGGACUCAUGGUGGUCUGCUGAACAACGUUCUUCAACUUUGACAGUGGCGUCCAUGGAUCUUGGAUCUGAAUGAAGAUUUGGCUAGAAAUUCUCCACAUCCUAUUCUGUGUUUCCCUCUGAAUAAGAAACAGCAUGUGUGAAUUACAUUUACUAUAAUCCGCUCCAUAC
Molecule: long non-coding RNA, 281 nt
Filed under: Gopherus evgoodei (Goodes thornscrub tortoise)
Lineage: Eukaryota; Metazoa; Chordata; Testudines; Testudinidae
Description: lncRNA (ENSGEVG00005010009.1)
Source: RNAcentral